This is an RNA transcript of Myiozetetes cayanensis, 2159 nucleotides long. RefSeq lists it as uncharacterized. NCBI's taxonomy places the organism in Eukaryota, Metazoa, Chordata, Aves, Passeriformes, Tyrannidae. The record is from RefSeq and is a predicted model, not a curated record. The transcript has 7 exons.
UUGCCGGGGAGCAGUCUUUCAAGGAGUAAAGGUGGGGGCGUCUCGCCGGGGCAAGCACCUGAGGUACCUGGAUCAUCGCUCAAGGAAGGGGCCGAGGGAUGAGCCGUGUGCCGGGAAACAGCGCAGGAGAGGGGAGCAGCGCACGUGAACAGGUGAAAGCGUGGAUUCCAGGACAGAAGUAGGUGCUGCCUGGGACUUUGGGGGCUCCAGACAGAGAAGACCUCGGAGGCCCCUUGAUGAAGCCCCUCAGAAACCUUACCAGGGUAGAUGUGUAUGGUUGUAAGUGCUGGGGAAUGUCCUGAGCGUGGAACAGGAAUGCAGGGAACAAAAUGAACCCUCAUGGAAUGCUGAGUCCUCCCAUCAGCUGCAGCGGAGGCACCUCUGUGUGCACUGUGGGAGCUGAUGGCCAGGGCCCCCGGUGGGCUGGGAUCACUGCAGGGUGUUGUCAGCAAGGAAUGCCUGGCUUCUAAAACUCACCAGCUGAGUCUUAGAGGCUUCUUUUUUUUCAGGCAGCCAAAUUGGCCCCAGGCAGGGACUCUGAGCCUGCUCUCCUGGUGUGCCCAGGGAUCUCUGGGCCUUCACGCCGGCACCGAGAUGUUCUCGGGAAGGCCCUCAGAUCCCCGGAGCAGUCUGGGACACGGGCAAGAUCCCCCUGCAUUUCGGGGGCAGAUUGGGCCCCCCGGAGGGACAGUGCUGUUGCUGCCCCCCGGGCUGGGACACUCGGAGAACUCCAGCGCGCACCGAAAUUGUUCUUCGGGGAGCUCCUCUGGGUGCCCCAAGGUGGGGAGCUGAAAGCAAGGUCCCUGGAAUGGAUUCAGGCAUUCCUGAGAGUAUCAGAGGUGUAGCUGUCUGUGCUGGCCAUGGAGCUCCGGAAUGGACUGUAACUGGGUUCUAAAAGUGGUGCUCCAGCUGCAAAAGGAGUGUGGGAUUGGAAUUAAGGAAUGAGUGGUGAUGGUACCGUUGGCUGUUUUCUCUUGAAUGCAGUUGUGAGAGCUGCAGGAGUGCAAGGUGUGGGUUCCAGUCCCCACCGUUUGGUUUGCACGUGUCCUGGUCAGACACAGGUCCAGCUUCCUCAGCCCUUAACACAGCAGAGGGAGAAUUAAGGGAUGGCACUGGGAAGGUGAUUGGUGUGACAGGGGUUAAACUGGGAAAACACUGGGUAAUUCCUCAGUUUGUUUAUUUGCAAGCUCCCCUAAACCUUUGCUAGGAAGAGAUGGGUUGGACAAGUUGAGGCAGAAAUGAACUUGGAAAAUGGGGAGAUUGAAAUUGUAGUUGCUGACACUAACUGUGUGACAGGAGCAGCUCUUCUUGUGCAGGAAGUAACUCCCGUCAGCAGCACCGUCCCGACUGAAGCGGCAGAUGGAGUUGUUCCUGUGGUGAGGGCCAGUGGAAUUCCAGGAGAAUGGAAGAGGGCAGAGCCUGUAGGAGCAAGGCAAGCCAAGAAACCUUUGCUUUUGAAGGAGAAACUCUGGAAAUUGGGAAGGAAGAAAUGAAGCCACCUGAGCCCUCCCUGAGCAACAGGCAGUCCAUGAAGUGCCUUCCUGGGAACGGUAGGACAGUGAGGACUCCGGAUUUCACGCUACGGGUGUGUGGAUCUGCCCUGCAGAAACUCCCGGAAUUGACGGUGACACCCCGGCCGAUGGAUUGGACGCCCCAGCCCGUCCGUUCCUGCCCAGCCGCUGGGUCCCUGUCAGGCGGUGGGACUCCCAGCCUGUCCAGGGGGCUGUGGCAUAGAAACUGCCCAGAGCUGAGCCAGAGGAUUGAAAGGGACUAACCCAGCGAGGUGAAGAAACAAGGAAGAAGGGAAGUGAGGCAGCAGCCAAGCAGCACCGAGUUCCUCUGUCAGCAGCAGCUCUUCUUGUGCAGGAAGUAACUCCCGUCAGCAGCACCGUCCCGACUGAAGCGGCAGAUGGAGUUGUUCCUGUGGUGAGGGCCAGUGGAAUUCCAGGAGAAUGGAAGAGGGCAGAGCCUGUAGAGCAAGGCAAGCCAAGAAACCUUUGCUUUUGAAGGAGAAACUCUGGAAAUUGGGAAGGAAGAAAUGAAGCCACCUGAGCCCUCCCUGAGCAACAGGCAGUCCAUGAAGUGCCUUCCUGGGAACGGUAGGACGGUGAGGACUCCGGAUUGCUCCCUACGGAUGUGUGGUAAGACCGAUGCAAACU